Solanum dulcamara is the source of this 3313-nucleotide long non-coding RNA. RefSeq lists it as uncharacterized. The record is from RefSeq and is a predicted model, not a curated record. The transcript has 4 exons. NCBI's taxonomy places the organism in Eukaryota, Viridiplantae, Streptophyta, Magnoliopsida, Solanales, Solanaceae.
UACACAUUUCACUUUCAGAUUUGCUUGCUAGCUAUUGAUCUUUUGAUAGGAAUCAACUCAGAUUAGGUUUGAGCUUUUCUCAAUAGAUCUAUUUUUUUUAAUUGAUUUUUAUGUUAGGUUUGAACUUUUCUCAAUCAAUCAAUUUAUUUUAUUGAUUUUUCUUUUGUUUCUCAAGUGACAAAUUCAACUCAAGUUAGGUUUGAGCUUUUCUCGAUAGAUCAAUUUUUUCUUGAUCUUUCCUUUGUUGUUUAAGUGACAAAUUCAACUCGGUUUAGGUUUGAGCUUUUCUCAAUAGAUCAAUUGUUUAUUGAUUUUUCCUUAGUUUCUUAAGUGACAGAUUCAACUUAAGUUAGGUUUGAGUUGUUUUCAAUAGAUCAAUUUUUUUAGUUAAUUUUUCCUUUGUUACUCAAGUGACAGAUUCAACUCAGGUUAGAUUUGAGCGUUUCUCAAUAGAUCUAAGACGAUCAAACAAUUCCCAAUCAUGGUCCUUGCGGAUCGGAUCUUUUUUAAUUGAUUUUUAGGUUAGGUCUGAAUUUUUCUCAAUUGAUCAAUAGAUCAAAUUUUUUUAAUUGAUUUUCCUUUGUUGCUCAAAUGACGAAUUCAACUGAGGUUAGGUUUGAGCUUUUCUCGACAAAUCCAUUUUUUAUUGAUUUUUCCUUUAUUGCUCAAGUGGCAGAUCCAACUCAUGUUAGGUUAAGAUUUUCUCAAUAGAUCAAUUUCUUUUGUUGAUUUUUUUCUUAGUUUCUCAAGUGACAGAUUCAACUCAAGUUAGGUUUGAGCUUUUUUCAGUACAUCAAUUCUUUUUAUUGAUUUUUCCUUUGAUGCUCAAGUGACAGAUUCAACUCAGGUUAGGUUUGAGCUUUUCUCAAUAGAUCAAAUAAUUUAUUGAAUUUUCCUUUGUUGCUCAAGUGUCAGAUUCAACUCAAGUUAGGACUAGUUUCUCAAUUGAUCUUUUGACAAAUUCAACUAGAUCCAGAUUCAACUCAAGUUAGGUCUGAGAUUUUCUCAAUGGAUCAACUUUUAAAAAAAAGUUGGUGUUCGGGAUAUCUUAUGCACACCUCGACUAUUCCACCAGUUUGCAAAAGGUGCAUCUAUCAAGCAGUUCAAGAAACUAGGUGCUGCCCACGAUGCAAAGUCUUCACUUGAAGUGAGUGUAGUUAAUGGGAUUGAGGCAGCAGGUUAGUGUGUUUGUAGAGGCAUCAGGACAGCAUUGAUCUUCGCAGCUUUUUCAUACUUGUACCAUUUACUGCAUCAAUAUCGUAAGUUGUUGCACUGGCAAAUUUCCUGUAGACCGCUGAGUAGAAGAGGAUUGGCCAAUUCAUGGUAUCUACAACCCGGUGACCGGAAGAAUUAAUACAAUUCUUAUGGUUCUGGUGAUUGUCUUCAGCUGGUUUAUCACACUGAGGACAGGGAUUAGUUGCAAGACACCUGCAUUUAUGCUUAUCACCAGCAAAAAAUGAGAUGUUCCUACAAAAUGAGGUUGGCAUCAAAAACCAAAUAUGUCAGUGUCUGAUGAUAAGGGGAAAUACCGAAAACAAAGACCCAAAAUAGGAACGUUACCAAGUUUCUGUCUCUUUCCCUGGACGUGUAGUUUCCGUUUCUUCCUUAACUUGCGCUCUGGUGUAAGAUGAAUUUUAUUGUACUCGUUUUCAGAAUCUUGUUCCCCUUUAGAUGGUUGAUACAUAUCACUCGGGAGUCUAACAUUGCCUGUUAGAUUCCAUUUGUUUUAAUUUCCAAGAAGAAUCAAAUUUGGAUAUAGUUGUUAAGUUGCUUUGAUCUUAUGCUACAUCCAAAUUAGAUUCUUCUUGGAAUCCAAAAUGGAAUCAAACAGCAAAGUUAGACUCCCUCGAUUUGUAUCAGCCAUCUAAUAACAAGUUUCUGAAAAAGAGGGCAAUAAAAUUCACCUUACACCAGAGAGCAAGUUAAGGAAGAAAAGGAAACUGUAUGUCCAGGGAAAGUGACACAAACUUGGUAACGUUGCUCCUAUUUUAGGUCUUUGUUUUCGGUAUUUCUCCUUAUCAUCAGACACUGACAUAUUUGGUUUUUGAUGUCAACCUCAUUUUCUAGGAACAUCUCAUUUUCUGCUGAUGAUAAGCAUAAAUGCAGGUGUCUUGCAACUAAUCCCCAUCCUCAGUGUGAUAAACUAGCUGAAGACAAUCACCAGAACCAUAAGAAUUGUAUUAUUUCUUCCGGUCACCGGGUUUUAGAUACCAUGAAUUGGCCAAUACUCUUCUACUCAGCGGUCUACAGGAAAUUUGCCAGUGCAACAACAUGGAAUAUUGGUGCAGUAAAUGGUACAAGUAUGAAAAGCAGAAAAAACUGCGAAGAUCAAUGCCGUCCUGAUGCCUCAACAAACACACUAACCUGCCUCAAUCUUCUUACCUACACCCAGUUCAUAUGGAGAUGGAGAGGAUACAAAAGGAGAGAACAAAUUACGAAAUUGCAUGAAGAUGUUAUUUGUCCUUCCGACCUCUGUCCUUUUCUUGUUCAUUUCUGCAUCUUUCAAUUUAUUGUUUAUUUUUUAAUUUGAAUAUUACGAUGCUACAGAUUCCAAAGAUUACUUAAGGUUUCAGUUAUAAAAUGAUAUGCAGAAAUUGCUAAUGAAAUUGAAAAAGAGCUAGAUUCAAUUAUGAAGAAGUAUGAUUUGCAGCUUCAGAUUGCUGAAAUGGAAUUAGUUCAAAAGAAAAAAGAUCUUGAUACGAUCUACAACAAAGUGCACGUGCAUGAGUUAUGCUUUAUUAUAUUAUAGUUUUGCAUUUCUUUGAACUAGUUAGUUAUAUAAAAAUCAUUUAUUAACUACCAUUGUCACAUAAAGAACUAGGAAAUUUUAAACUUUUCCCUUCUAUUUGAUUAUAUACUAAUGAUUACUUAACACAGAUAAAGAAACCUAUGAAUGAGAAGGGGAGCAAACCAUUUGAAUGAUCUCAAAUUAAAAAGACGAUACAAACAUGUAAAGGUGGAUGUUGUAUGCUGCAGUGAAAAGCUGAAUGGAGAUAUGACGCUCAAGGACAUUCAUCUUAUAUGAAUGUUACACCUUCUCAAUUCUGUAAGGGAAAAGGGUAAAUGGGACUUGAAGGAGCUUGUGAAUGAGGUAGGGUACAUCAGAAGCAAGAAGACUGAGACUCCCCAAAAGAAACAAGUGUGGCUACUGGCUAUCAUGGUUUAAAAGAAACGAACUUCCUAUCUCACAACAGACUAAAGACUAUCAGUAGCCAAUUUCUGUACUUGUAUAGUAAUAGCCUCAGAGCUAUUGGUACCUUUCUUUGCUUUAUUAUCGGCAAACAAUCUAUGCAUAGUUUCUUAUCAAAUAUUA